AACAUGCCACCAAGAAAACGUUUAAAUACUUAAAACAUUUGAUUCUUUGAUCAAAAUAACAAUGUAAUAAUUUGUAAAUAAAUUGAAUUCAUGUUUCACACGAAGGCCCGUUCACGUUUUGUGUCAAAUCGGAUCCCGUUUGCUACAGUUUUCGCGCACUACACGAGGUGACUUGGCAGCACAAAGCAUUGGGAAAUGCAUGGAUUCAGAUGUAGUAUCUGUGAGAAAGUACUGAAAUGUAAAGGUGGAUAUACUGUUCAUCAGCAGAUGACUUGAAGUCAAAAGAAACGGAGACCAUUCAGUCAUUUCUACAGAUUUCCAAGCACGAAUGCUGUUAUGUUCAGCUGAGAACAAAAUGAUGAACAAGCAGAAAAUACAGCAGCAAAGAACAAGGAAGAGAUGGCACACAUUUUAAGAAUGAAAUUAACUUAAUAAAUAUUCAGAUCAUUUCUGAGGGAUGUUACAUUUGGGAAUUCACUUUCCCAGUAUAGUACAGAUACUAGUACUUUGCUGGUAGAGGGUGGAGUGAAUCCCUUUGUGUGAUUUGAACCCACCCUUUAAGAGUGAAACACCUUAUCACAGAACAACAUUGUCAGCAAUUUAACCUGACAAAUGUUAGUCAAGGUCUCGAUCAGAGAAGUGUAAAUGCCACAAUUACAAUUUUUGCAAAGUUAUGCAAAUAAGAAUGUCAAAACUAUUUGGUUUAAUAAAUAGUAAUUAUUAAA
This 725-nucleotide long non-coding RNA is filed under the name Haliotis rubra (blacklip abalone). RNAcentral's name for it is "uncharacterized LOC124265772, transcript variant X3". The record is from RNAcentral. Lineage: Eukaryota; Metazoa; Mollusca; Gastropoda; Lepetellida; Haliotidae.